This is a long non-coding RNA of Bos taurus (domestic cattle), 1286 nucleotides long. The record is from Ensembl. Lineage: Eukaryota; Metazoa; Chordata; Mammalia; Artiodactyla; Bovidae.
GUGAGGGACUUCUUCCCUUUUCCUGGGACCGCCCUGCCGGGCCAAUUCCCUGGCCUGCGAAGCCGCAUCUGCAAACACCCCCCACGCCCGGCCCGGCCCGGCCGCCCUCCGCGUGCCCGGCGGGCUGGAGCCUUCGCGUUCCCCCUCGGAGCCGGAGGCCGCCGGACGACCGCGUUCCGGGCGUCCCAAAAGCGGAGCUAUGGGCUUGGUCUCGUCGCGGGCUGGACGAACUGCUUUGGCGGUGUAACCCAGGAGAGGAUCGAACCCUGGAAGUUUAGUAGUUCUCUCCAUGUCCAUCUACCGCUGAAGCUGGGAGGAUAGGUAUAAGGUCAAGCUCUGACUUGCUAUACCUGAAUGUCCUCCAAUGUCUAAUGACCUUAGACAAUGUGACUUCCUCCUCUGGGCCCCAAAUCCUCCUCCCGAAAAUAAAUGGUUUGGAGUAAAAUCAAAUUGGUCUGUGAGCGACCAGGUGAUCUUGAUCUGCCAUUGCCAAGACUCCAACCCCCAGUCGAGGUUUAUAGAUAAAAGCUGGGACUCCACUUCCGUUUAAGUUUGAGGAACCUAAGCCUGGAGCAUGGGUCCUGAGCACUUCCGGAACCGGCUGGCUCCAGCUGCCUCCAGCAUCCUUGUGGGAUGUGGUUCCUCCCCCCAUCCAAGCCGGAUUGCACCUUGGUACAAGCUGCGGCAGAGGCGUAGCUUGAUGGAGGGUAGAUUGGGCAGCCAGCACCGCGGUUUAUUCACUGACUGUGACUUCUUCAAAAGAGACAAGGGGAUACUCAUGGAGGACAUUCAGGGUGUUCAUGAUGAAUCCCCAUUUCACAGCCGAUGACAGUGAGGUUCAGGGAGGUGACGUGACGUGCCCCCAAGCCAUCCAGUAAAUAAAGAAGAGUUCUUUCACAAUCCCACGGGCCUGCUCCUUGGAAAUGUUAGCUGAUGAAGUGAUGAUGGGUGAGAGUCAGCCUCGCGGCUGGGAAAGGGCAAAGGGGCCAGGUGCCCUCUUUGGCCCACCAGGCCACGUGUCCAUGGGAGAAGCAGCCUGGCUCAGAGCCCAAGACCAGGACAUCAGGGGAAGGGUGGCCACCCUGCUUCAAGUCAGCCCAGCAGAGGCACCCCCCCCCCCCCACCCUGCCACCCAAGGGUCAGUGACUUCCUCUGGGUAAAAUCGUUGCAGAGGUGACGUCACCCAGCGAGUGCUAAGCUCAGGCACAUUUGCUCUCUUCAUUGUUGAUUUCUGUCCCCUAGAGAACAAGGUAUCCUCUGGCCCCACCACACCUUCUCCUCAGCCU